AGAAGAAGGUUGUUAUACAGGAUACUGGAUCGUAGGAGCCGACAGAAAACCUAGUCGAUCACACACAGCGCGGAGAGAGAAAAGAGAAAGCAAUCAUGGCGGACGAAAGUCUCAAUGAUGUAAAGGACGAGAUGACAGAGUUUGUCCCCUUUGAUAACACAAAAAAGAAGAAAAAGAAGAAGGUUGUUAUACAGGAUACUGGA
Molecule: unclassified non-coding RNA, 203 nt
Filed under: Hevea brasiliensis (rubber tree)
Lineage: Eukaryota; Viridiplantae; Streptophyta; Magnoliopsida; Malpighiales; Euphorbiaceae
Source: RNAcentral